GAUGAAGAACGUAGCAAAAUGCGAUACUUGGUGUGAAUUGCAGAAUCCCGUGAACCAUCGAGUUUUUGAACGCAAGUUGCGCCCGAAGCCUUUUGGCCGAGGGCACGUCUGCCUGGGCGUCACGCAUCGUGUCGCCCCCCACAAAUUCUCCGUCAGGGGAGCUUGUGUUUCGGGGGCGGAUACUGGUCUCCCGUGCUCAUGGCGCGGUUGGCCGAAAUAGGAGUCCCUUCGAUGGACGCACGAACUAGUGGUGGUCGUAAAAACCCUCGUCUUUUGUUUCGUGCCGUUAGUCGCGAGGGAAGCUCUUCAAAAACCCCAACGCGUCGUCUCUUGACGGCGCUUCGACCGCGACCCCAGGUCAGGCGGGACUACCCGCUGAGUUUAAGCAUAUCAAUAAGCGGUGGA
This 405-nucleotide unclassified non-coding RNA is filed under the name soil metagenome. RNAcentral describes it as "partial contains 5.8S ribosomal RNA, internal transcribed spacer 2, and large subunit ribosomal RNA". The stretch from base 1 to 122 matches the Rfam family "5.8S ribosomal RNA", at positions 35 to 154 of the family's 154-position model. The record is from RNAcentral.